CGAGUUUGAUCAUGGCUCAGGAUGAACGCUAGCUGGAGGCUUAAUACAUGCAAGUCGAGCGGGAUUGGUAGCAAUACCAUGAGAGCGGCGCACGGGUGAGUAACGCGUACACGACCUACCUCUGACAGGGGGAUAGCCCUGGGAAACUGGGAUUAAUACCGCAUAUUAUUCUGAUUAAUAAAGGAUUGGAAUGAAAGCUGAGGCGGUCAGAGAUGGGUGUGCGUCUGAUUAGCUAGUUGGUAGGGUAACGGCCUACCAAGGCGAUGAUCAGUAGGGGGCGUGAGAGCGUGGUCCCCCACACGGGUACUGAGACACGGACCCGACUCCUACGGGAGGCAGCAGUAAGGAAUAUUGGUCAAUGGGCGAAAGCCUGAACCAGCCAUCCAGCGUGCAGGAAGAAGGCCCUAUGGGUUGUAAACUGCUUUUAUCAGGGAAGAAACCUCUGGAUUUACUCCGGAGCUGACGGUACCUGAAGAAUAAGCACCGGCUAACUCCGUG
RNAcentral lists this ribosomal RNA (498 nucleotides) under uncultured bacterium. Its description in RNAcentral is "bacterial SSU rRNA". It matches the Rfam family "Bacterial small subunit ribosomal RNA", at positions 9 to 507 of the family's 1533-position model. The record is from RNAcentral.